CUAAGUUACUUAGAGCAUACGGUGGAUGCCUGGGCACAAGGAGCCGAUGAAGGACGUGGGAGUCUGCGAUAAGCCUCGGGGAGGUGACAACCGACCUGUGAUCCGGGGAUGUCCGAAUGGGGAAACCCGCCGCUAUGAGAGUCGUGGUACCCGCCGCUGAAUGUAUAGGUGGUGUGGGGGGAACGAGGGGAAGUGAAACAUCUCAGUACCCUUAGGAAGAGAAAACAAUAGUGAUUGCGUGAGUAGUGGCGAGCGAAAGCGUAGGAGGCUAAACCAUGCUGGUGUGAGACUCGGUAGGGGUUGCUGGUGUGGGGUUGUGGGGUGCAUUUACACAAUAUCUACCGGUGUUGUGGCGUCGUGGUGUGUGGUAGGUGAAGCCUUGUGAGUGGGGCGCCAUAGUGGGUGUGAGUCCCGUAGCUGAAACUGCAUGGCCAGGCGUGGUGUUGCCCCGAGUAGGGCCGGGCUCGUGGAAUCCGGUGUGAAUCUGCCAGGACCACCUGGUAAGCCUAAAUACUUCCUUGUGACCGAUAGCGGACUAGUACCGUGAGGGAAAGGUGAAAAGUACCCCGGGAGGGGAGUGAAAGAGUACCUGAAACCGUGUGCUUACAAUCCGUCGGAGCCUUGAGGGGUGACGGCGUGCCUAUUGAAAAAUGAGCCUGCGAGUUAGUGGUCGGUGGCGAGGUUAACCUGUGUGGGGUAGCCGUAGCGAAAGCGAGUCUGAAUGGGGCGUUCAGUCGCCGGCUCUAGACCCGAAGCGAAGUGAUCUAUCCAUGGGCAGUGUGAAGCGCGGGUAAGACCGUGUGGAGGCGCGAACCCACUUCAGUUGAAAAUGGAGGGGAUGACCUGUGGAUAGGGGUGAAAGGCCAAUCAAACUUCGUGAUAGCUGGUUCUCCCCGAAAUGCAUUUAGGUGCAGCGUUGCGUGUUUCGUGCUGGAGGUAGAGCACUGGAUAGGCGAUGGGCCCCACCGGGUUACUGACCUUAGCCAAACUCCGAAUGCCGGUACGUGAGAGCGUAGCAGUGAGACUGUGGGGGAUAAGCUUCAUGGUCGAGAGGGAAACAGCCCAGAACAUCAGCUAAGGCCCCUAAGCGUGUGCUAAGUGGGAAAGGAUGUGGAGUUGCUGAGACAACCAGGAGGUUGGCUUAGAAGCAGCCACCCUUGAAAGAGUGCGUAAUAGCUCACUGGUCAAGUGAUUCUGCGCCGAUAAUGUAGCGGGGCUCAAGUACACCGCCGAAGCUGUGUCACUCCAUUUUUUGUGGGGUGGGUAGGGGAGCGUCGUGUGGCCGGUGAAGCUGCGGGGGAACCCAGUGGUGGAGGCUAUGCGAGUGAGAAUGCAGGCAUGAGUAGCGAAAGACGGGUGAGAAACCCGUCCUCCGAAUGAUCAAGGGUUCCGGGGCUAGGUUAAUCCGCCCCGGGUUAGUCGGGACCUAAGGCGAGGCCGACAGGCGUAGUCGAUGGAUAACGGGUUGAUAUUCCCGUACCGAUAGUGUGAGGACCCAUACCGAGGCGUGUGAUGCUAACCACCCGAGCUGCUGCUUCCUUCCCUUUGGGUUGGUUGUUGGUGGUGAGGCUGGGAACCGAGCGCGUAGUAGGUCAGCGUGUGGGAUGACGCAGUGAGGUAGCUUCCGCGGGGUAAUGGUUGUCCCCGUUCAAGCGAGCAGCCCGAGUGCGAGUAAUGUUGUGCUCUUGUGGGUGAGUCGUGAUGAGGACCCUUUAGUGGGGUAGGUGGGUGAUCCUGGACUGCCGAGAAAAGUUCCGGCGUGACGAGCACUAUUGCCCGUACCCUAAACCGACUCAGGUGAUCAGGUAGAGAAUACUAAGGAGUUCGAGAGAAUCGUGGUUAAGGAACUCGGCAAAAUGCCCCCGUAACUUCGGGAGAAGGGGGGCCUGAGGUGUGAGAGCACUGAUGGCCGCAGAGACCAGGGAGAAGCGACUGUUUACUAAAAACACAGGUCCGUGCGAAGACGUAAGUCGCUGUAUACGGACUGACGCCUGCCCGGUGCUGGAAGGUUAAGAGGACUGGUUAGCCCCUUUUUGGGGGCGAAGCUGAGAAUUUAAGCCCCAGUAAACGGCGGUGGUAACUAUAACCAUCCUAAGGUAGCGAAAUUCCUUGUCGGGUAAGUUCCGACCUGCACGAAUGGCGUA
This 2144-nucleotide ribosomal RNA is filed under the name human gut metagenome. RNAcentral's name for it is "bacterial LSU rRNA". It matches the Rfam family "Bacterial large subunit ribosomal RNA", at positions 1 to 2003 of the family's 2925-position model. The record is from RNAcentral.